Molecule: ribosomal RNA, 1361 nt
Filed under: uncultured bacterium
Lineage: Bacteria
Description: bacterial SSU rRNA
Rfam family: Bacterial small subunit ribosomal RNA
Source: RNAcentral
AUUGAACGCUGGCGGCAGGCCUAACACAUGCAAGUCGAGCGGUAGCACAGAGAGCUUGCUCUCGGGUGACGAGCGGCGGACGGGUGAGUAAUGUCUGGGAAACUGCCUGAUGGAGGGGGAUAACUACUGGAAACGGUAGCUAAUACCGCAUAAUGUCGCAAGACCAAAGUGGGGGACCUUCGGGCCUCAUGCCAUCAGAUGUGCCCAGAUGGGAUUAGCUAGUAGGUGGGGUAACGGCUCACCUAGGCGACGAUCCCUAGCUGGUCUGAGAGGAUGACCAGCCACACUGGAACUGAGACACGGUCCAGACUCCUACGGGAGGCAGCAGUGGGGAAUAUUGCACAAUGGGCGCAAGCCUGAUGCAGCCAUGCCGCGUGUGUGAAGAAGGCCUUCGGGUUGUAAAGCACUUUCAGCGGGGAGGAAGGCGGUGAGGUUAAUAACCUCAUCGAUUGACGUUACCCGCAGAAGAAGCACCGGCUAACUCCGUGCCAGCAGCCGCGGUAAUACGGAGGGUGCAAGCGUUAAUCGGAAUUACUGGGCGUAAAGCGCACGCAGGCGGUCUGUCAAGUCGGAUGUGAAAUCCCCGGGCUCAACCUGGGAACUGCAUUCGAAACUGGCAGGCUAGAGUCUUGUAGAGGGGGGUAGAAUUCCAGGUGUAGCGGUGAAAUGCGUAGAGAUCUGGAGGAAUACCGGUGGCGAAGGCGGCCCCCUGGACAAAGACUGACGCUCAGGUGCGAAAGCGUGGGGAGCAAACAGGAUUAGAUACCCUGGUAGUCCCCGCCGUAAACGAUGUCGAUUUGGAGGUUGUGCCCUUGAGGCGUGGCUUCCGGAGCUAACGCGUUAAAUCGACCGCCUGGGGAGUACGGCCGCAAGGUUAAAACUCAAAUGAAUUGACGGGGGCCCGCACAAGCGGUGGAGCAUGUGGUUUAAUUCGAUGCAACGCGAAGAACCUUACCUGGUCUUGACAUCCACAGAACUUUCCAGAGAUGGAUUGGUGCCUUCGGGAACUGUGAGACAGGUGCUGCAUGGCUGUCGUCAGCUCGUGUUGUGAAAUGUUGGGUUAAGUCCCGCAACGAGCGCAACCCUUAUCCUUUGUUGCCAGCGGUCCGGCCGGGAACUCAAAGGAGACUGCCAGUGAUAAACUGGAGGAAGGUGGGGAUGACGUCAAGUCAUCAUGGCCCUUACGACCAGGGCUACACACGUGCUACAAUGGCAUAUACAAAGAGAAGCGACCUCGCGAGAGCAAGCGGACCUCAUAAAGUAUGUCGUAGUCCGGAUUGGAGUCUGCAACUCGACUCCAUGAAGUCGGAAUCGCUAGUAAUCGUAGAUCAGAAUGCUACGGUGAAUACGUUCCCGGGCCU